This 159-nucleotide small RNA is filed under the name Arabidopsis thaliana (thale cress). RNAcentral describes it as "ATSL041530". The record is from RNAcentral. Lineage: Eukaryota; Viridiplantae; Streptophyta; Magnoliopsida; Brassicales; Brassicaceae.
UUCCUUUUCAGAAGAUACAAAGCCAAAGACUCAUACGGAUAUCGGCUAAACCAUCAAACCUUUGAGAAGCAAUAAGAAGCUUUGUUAGUAUUUUGGAGUCAAAUAUGACUAGAUGUCAUGUUUAUGAUUGAGUAUAAGAACUAGAACCGCAACCGGUUC